CCUACGGGUGGCAGCAGUGGGGAAUAUUGCACAAUGGGGGAAACCCUGAUGCAGCGACGCCGCGUGAGUGAGGAAGUCUUUCGGUAUGUAAAGCUCUAUCAGCAGGGAAGCAAAUGACGGUACCUGACUAAGAAGCCCCGGCUAACUACGUGCCAGCAUCCGCGGUAAUACGGAGGGGGCCAGCGUUAUCCGGCUUUACUGGGUGUAAAGGGAGCGUAGACGGAAUUGCAAGUCUGAUGUGAAAAUACGGGGCCCAACCCCGGAACUGCAUUGGCAACUGGAUUUCUAGAGUGUCGGAGAGGCAAGUGGAAUGCCUGGUGUAGCGGUGAAAUGCGUAGAUAUCAGGAGGAACACCAGUGGCGAAGGCGGCCUGCUGGACGAUGACUGACGUUGAGGCUCGAAAGCGUGGGGAGCAAACAGGAUUAGAUACCCCUGUAGUC
This 440-nucleotide ribosomal RNA is filed under the name uncultured bacterium. Its description in RNAcentral is "partial 16S ribosomal RNA". It matches the Rfam family "Bacterial small subunit ribosomal RNA", at positions 338 to 795 of the family's 1533-position model. The record is from RNAcentral.